UACGUAGGGUGCGAGCGUUAAUCGGAAUUACUGGGCGUAAAGCGUGCGCAGGCGGUUUUGUAAGUCAGGUGUGAAAUCCCCGGGCUUAACCUGGGAACUGCGUUUGAAACUACAAGGCUAGAGUGUAGCAGAGGGGGGUGGAAUUCCACGUGUAGCAGUGAAAUGCGUAGAUAUUGGGAAGAACACCGGAGGCGAAGGCGGGUUGCUGGGCCGACACUGACGCUGAGGCGCGAAAGCCAGGGGAGCAAACGGG
RNAcentral lists this ribosomal RNA (253 nucleotides) under uncultured bacterium. Its description in RNAcentral is "partial 16S ribosomal RNA". It matches the Rfam family "Bacterial small subunit ribosomal RNA", at positions 524 to 776 of the family's 1533-position model. The record is from RNAcentral.